RNAcentral lists this long non-coding RNA (11563 nucleotides) under Homo sapiens (human). RNAcentral describes it as "non-protein coding lnc-FCHSD2-2:3". Lineage: Eukaryota; Metazoa; Chordata; Mammalia; Primates; Hominidae. The record is from RNAcentral.
GUAGACACCGCGCCACCCGCUCCGGGACGCCGCCCAGCGACAAGGCCGCGGGGUCAGCGUGUCUGUACCGGUGCUGCAACGGGAGGGUCGGGCGGCGACGCUCUCACUGCCGGGCCAGAAGGAGGCCUCCCGGCUCCCUCACGCUAGAAGGGAGCUGGUUACCAGAGGUUUUCAGAGACGCCAAAGUUUUGCCAGGUCAGCCCGGUGCCUGCGUGGCCCACUGCGGGACCUUUGCGCCCAGCCACCGCGCCACCCUACCCCUGUCCCGCCCCUGCCCCAGCCCGGCUGGCCAGGAAGGGACCUACUGGGAGAUACCUGCUCGGAACCCCAGGCUAAGGACGUACCUCCCUUGCUUGAAAGUGGGGGAAGGGGGUGCCUCUCUCCAUUACCGUGGUUAGGAAAGCAGGGUACUCAGGAUCCCGCCUCUCCCGUGCUCCCCACUUUCCCUGCCUUAAUCUUAUCAGCAGCUCCCUGAACUCCCCACUCUGGCCCCUUAUCUUGAGCUGCUUUACCUCUCUUCUCUGUCGUCAACCCCACUCUAAUGGCCUUCCCUGGUCGGGCUACCGGCUGCAUGUCUGACCCGUUCGGAGACUGUGAGCUCCCGAGGGCAGGAACCAGGUCUGCCUUCUUCCUGCUGCUGUCCUAGAGGUCCUGGGAGGUGCUCAAUCCUUGAAGGUGUGAAUGGAUGAAUGAAUGAGCACCCCGCCUCUCUCUCAUUUCUGGUCUAGGAAUCAGGAGUGUAGGUUCCUGUCUGGCUUCAGCACUGACUCUGGGAGACCUUGACCCAGUUCCAUUCCCUGGCAGGGUCUUCUUUCCUGUGAAAUGGAGCCAAUCGCUCCGCUGGCUGGACAAGUGCAGAGGAGGCCUCUUCCUGUAGCCAAGGAACUUGCCCCGGGCCUUCGGGGCCUUGGGCCCUCUUGGGCUCCAUAUCAGCUGACUGGGCCUGGCUGCCAGGAAGGGUGCUGGCUGCAGCCCCACCAGGAGCAGUAGCAGAGUGGACACACAGCCCAUAGUGGCUGAGCCGCCUCUGCAGUCCUGCUGGGGCCUUUGCUUGGGAGACACAAAGGCCCCUUGUCUAGCCUCCUGCGCCUAUUGUCUAAGCUGGGCCACGCACCUUCCAGGGACCUAAGUAUCCUCAUAGCCCGAGUUAUAGGGCCUAGGCCUUCAGGUUCCAGUGUGGGGAAGACCCUUUGGGCACUGGAACUCCAGCCAACCCUCUCUUUCUCUCCCCUCUUCCAAAACUUCAAACCUUAUACUGUCACUGCCAUUUAGCCCAGGAGAAACAAGUUUCUUUGACGCCAAGUUGAGGACCCAGGCUCGACCUUAGCCUUCAGCGGGCAAAUCUGGUUGGUGGCCUGCCCAGGGCUCUGCCCCUGCUCUGGCCCAAUUCCCUUACUUUACAGCUGAGGAAACUGCAUUCCUGAGACAUACAGCGUUUCAGCUACCACACAGGUGACUUAGUGAGGCUUGAGGAGCAGAGGAAGGGGCCUAGUCCUUGAACCCCAUAGCCUUGGGUUUAGAUUCCAGUCUUACCUCACCUGUCCUAUGACUCCUCUCUGAGCCUGAGUUUCCUCUUUUGCAAAAGGGAGUAAUACUAAUCUCUCACUUGCUGGCCUGUCUUAAAUUUUUUGAGAAAGGGCCUCACUCUGUCACCCAGGCCGUAGUGCAGUGGCAUGAUCACAGCACACUACAGUCUCUAUGUCCCAGGGCCAAGGGAUCCUCCCAUCUCAGCCUCCCAAGUAGCUGGGAAUACAGGCACAUGCCACCAUGCCGGGCUAAUUUGUAAAUUUUUUGUAGAGAUGGGAUCUCCCUGUGUUGACCAGGCUGGUCUCAAACUGCUGAGUCCAAGCAGUCCUCCUGCCUCGGCCUCCCAAAGUGCUGGGAUUCCAGGCAUGAGCCCCUGCACCCUAUCCUUAAAUUCUUUUUUCAUGGUUUUAUUCAUCAUCCCAAGCUGUCUGGGCUCAAGGCGUUAGUAUCCCAUGCAAUGAGGGCCUAGAAGUUUCGUCUCCUGACAUCCUCCCCAGGCAGUCCCAUCGCUGGGUUUCAGAGGCCAUCAAGCCCAGCAGGCUUCAAAUCCCCCAACAGAGUCCCCCUUACCUGGGGCUGCCUGGGGAACUCCCAUCCCACUUCAACUUGAGCACCUUUGCCUUUGUAUUUUUAUUUAUUUACAUUUCCUGGUAAGAAUUUGUUGCAAGCACAUGAAAGAUUUUGUGGCUGAAGUAAUGUAAAACCAUUGAUCAAACCGGAAAUUGAGACACAGCCAGCGUCACACAACAGGCCAUCUGAAAGGCUGGAAUAGCAUCGAGGGAGUCUCCCUGGAACCAAGCAGCCAAGGCAGGCUAAUGGUGAAGGCCCAGGCACAGUAAUGGUCCCCUGGAGGUGGGUAAUGGAACCAUGGGGGCGGGAGGAGGGUUCCAUUAGCAGUAGCAGAUCAGGAGGGGAAGGGCAAAGUUCCAGCCUCAGCUUCUCCCAUGUAUUAGGAGGCUUCCUGUCUCUCCAGCCCUGAGGAGGUAUUUGGCUCAUUCAGGCCUUUUCAUCCUCCUUCUCUCAACUUCUCUCAUUGCCCCUGGGAAAACUUGCUCUGAAAAUGCAUGCUGGGGAUGAAGCCUCUGCCCUGGCCCAGGCUCCAAUCCCCCCUUCCCAGGGUACAGUGGUGUCUCUGUUGCCCCUUGAUGCCAUACCCUGCCUUACACUCUCUGGUGGCUCCACCAUCCUCUGGAUAAAGCCUAGCUCUCUAGCCUGCCACUCCAGCCUCCCUGCCUCUCUGCCUCACCUCUCACCUCUGACCAGCCUCCUGUUGCCUCUUGCUGCUCCCUCUGCCCACAGUGCCCCCUGCUUCUGGCUCCCCACCAUGGGUCCUCGAAGACCCAGGCCAGGUGCCCCACCACUUACCAUGCUGUUAUUGCUAUCACUGCCUGUCUCCCCCUCUAACAGGGAUCUCUCUGAGAGCAGAGCCAGGUUCCAUUCUGUUCACAAUUAAAUGGCCAACACCUAGCACUGUCCCUGAAUAAUUUUUCUUUUUUUUUCUUUGAGAUGGAGUCCUGCUCUGUCAUCCAUGCUGGAGUGCAGUGGCGUGAUCUCAGCUCACUGCAACCUCCGCCUCCUGGGUUCAAGUGAUUCUCCUGCCUCAGCCUCCCAAGUAGCUGGGAUUACAAGUGUGCACCAUCACACCCUGCUGAUUUUUGUAUUUUUAGUAGAGACAGGGUUUCACCAUGUUGGCCAGGCUGUUCUUGAACUCCUGGCCUAAAGCGAUCCACCCGCCUUGGCCUCCCAAAGUCCUGGGAUUACAGGCGUGAGCCACCGUACCUGACCCCUGUCCCUGAACAUUUGUCACAAUAUAUUAUGAGUGAAUGAGUAAGAACUCUAUUUUAGUGGUCACCUUCUUUGUGCUAGUCAUUAAGUUUAAGGUAUCUCGCUUAAUAUUCUCCAGAACCCUGUGAGAUAGGCAUUAUUUUAUUCUCAUGUGACAUGUAGAGAAACAGGUUCAGAAAGGGGAAGCGAAAGUCCAAAGCAGUGAAUCUGCGGUGGGUCUCCUGGCCCCAGAAUUGCAGCCUGAUGGGAAGGAAGGCCCUGCUGAGUUCCCAGAGUUAUGGCUGGGUCAUGGCAUUGGGACCCACACUGGCAGCUCCAGUUACACAGGGCUGGGCUGGCUCUAGCAGCCUUGUCUUACUUGCUCCCUGAACUGCUGCAUUGACCUGCACCAUCCUCCCUUCCCUUGCCAGCCGAGAACUGUGCUCCUCAGGUUUCCUGGGCAGGGUCCAGGGCUCUGAUGCCAAACGCAGCCUGGAAACUCUAGCUCUCAGCAUGCCAGGAUGCGGGCACCCAAGUGAGGCCGCCUGGGAUGCAGGAAGCUUAGUCCAGGCCUGGGCAUGCCUCUGUUCCAUCUCCCCUCAAGCAGGACCAGCUACUUAAUCUGCGGGACCCAGAGCAGAAUGAAAAUGUGGGCCCCUCAUUCAAAAAUUUAAAAUUUCCAACAAAAGAAUGAAAAAAUAAGAAAAAAUUAAGAAUUUCAAGAUGGUGAUAGCAGAGUAUUUAACACUUCAAAUCAUGACCCUUACUGUCCAGGUCACAUGCCCACAAAGUCAGCCCUGUCGUCAGGCCUUGGUUUCCUUGUCUGUCAAGUGGGAGAAUGGUAGCCACUGGCCAAAAGGGUGAGGGUGAGAAUGAGGUGGGAGCUGGUGGUAAGAGGUCCAGUGAACAGCAUGAGGAUGAGAUUCACCUCUUGAUAUUUUAUUUGCCUAGUUGUACUAUAUACGUAAGUAACACACAUAUAUAAUAUUGAAAAAUAAUUUUCUCUUUAUUUCUUCUUCCUCCCUUCCUUCCUUCCUUUCUUUCAUUCUUUCGUUUCCUUCCUUCCUUCCUUUUUUUCUUUUCUUUUGUUUUCUUCUCUCUUUCUUUCUUUCUGCCUGCCUGCCUUCCUUCCUUCUUUCUUUUCUUCCUUUCUUCCUUUCUUUCUUUUUCUUCCUUCCUUCCUUCCUUCCUUCCUUUCUUUCUUUCUUUUUCUUUCUUUCUUUCUUUUUCUUUCUUUCUCUCCUCUUUUUUGAGACAGGGUCUUGCUCUGUUGCCCAGCCCAGCUCAUUGCAACCUCGGCUUCCCAGGCUCAGGUGAUCCUCCCAGCUCAGCCUCCCAGCUGGGACUACAGGCUGGUGCCACCACACUCAGCUGAUUUUUUAUAUUUUUAGUAGAGAUGGGGUUUCACCAUAUUGCCCAGGCUGGUCUUGAACUCCUAGGCUUAAGCAAUCUGCUUGCCUCAGCCUCCUAAAGUGCUGGGAUUAUAGGCAUGAGUCACUGCGUCCAGCCUCAGUAUUUCUUUUUCACUUAUAUAACCCAGCAGGCUGAAAAUGAUGUGUCUCCCACUACUUUUUUGUUUAUAUCAACCUCUCCUUCUAUUGCUAUUUCAUCUAUUUUGAUCCUCUGUUAUUCAAUAUAUAAAAGUACAUCCUCACUAUGGCUUACAUAUUUUUAUAGAUAAAAGUGUCCCCUUUUUGUCCCAUCUAAUGCUUUUAGCCAUAUUUUAAAAUAUUUCUUACAUCACUACUACCAUCCCCUGCUUUAUUUCAUUUGCAUUUAGCCAGCAUAGCUUUGUCUGUGCUUCCAAAUGUAAACUUGUUGUGUCAUUUAACUUUUCUAUUUAAAAUUUGGAAUGAGUAAUAUAUGGUUCAAAAAUGUUAUAGUAUAGGAAAAAAAGAUAUUCAGAGAAAUGUCUCCCUCCAUCCCCCAUCAUUCAGUUGCCUGAUUUCCACUGCUCCCUUCACUCUUAACCUGGAAAGUGUUUUUGUUAGUUUAUUGCGUAUCCUUGAGUUCCUUUGUGUGAAUACAAACAUUUCCACUUAUUUUCCUUUUUAAUUUUUAUUUAUUUUUAAUUUUUUUUAACAUGGAGUCUCGCUCUCUCACCCAGGCUGGAGUGCAGUGGCGUGAUCUUGGCUCCCUGCAGCCUCCACCCUCCAGGUUCAAGCGAUUCUUGUGCCUCAGCCUCUCAAGUAGCUGGGACUACAGGCUUGCACCACCAUGCCUGGCUAAUUUUUUGUAUAUAUUUUUUUCAGUAGAGACAGGGUUUCACCAUGUUGGCCAGGCUGGUUUCAAACUCCUGACCUCAAGUGAUCCAUCUGCCUCAGCUUCCCUCAUUUUCCUUUUUGAAAAAACACAAAAGAGUAUCAUAAAGAUACACACUGACCCUUGCAUGUUAUCACUUAACAGUGUAUCUUGGAGAUCUUUCCAAGUCAGUACAUUGGAAGCUUCUUCAUUCUUUAUAAGGGCCGCAUAGUAUCCCAUUGUAUAGUCAUACCAUAAUGUAUUUAACCAGUCCUCUGUUGGUGGACAUUUGGGUUGUUGCCAAUUUUUUGCUAGUACAAACAAUGCUGCAAUGAAUAGCCUUGUACAUAUUUUUUUGCUUGGGUGUAAAUAUAUGUAGGAAAAUUUCACAGAAACUUAUUACUCGAUCAAAAGGAUUGUGCAUUUGAAGAUGUGAUAACUGUUGUCAAAUUGUCAGCCACCGAGAUUGUAUUCAUUUACCCUUCCACCAGCAGUGUAUGGGAGUGCCUGUAUCUCCAUAGCCUCAUCAACACUGUGAUAUCAAACUUUUGGAUUUUUGCCAGUCUGAUAGGUGAAAAGUCAUGUCUCAGUGUAGUUUUAAUUUGUCAGGUUUUUUUUUUUGUUUUGAGUGCAUAUCUUCAUAACAAAAGUAUAAUUUAUGAUCCAUUUCCAUUUCCUUUUCCAUUACAGUCAUGAGUUGCUUAAAGACUGGGAUGCUUUCUAAGAAACGUGUCACUUUGCGAUUUCAUCAUUGUGUGAACGUGAACACAAACCCAGAUGGUAUAGCCUACUACACACCUAGGCUAUAUGGUAUAGCCUAUUGCUCCUAGGCCACAAACUUGUACCUGUACUGAAUACUAGAGGCAAUUGUAAUACAAUGGCGGAAAUAAAGCCAGGCUAAGGACUGCCCCCUGAUCCUUUCAACCUUAUGCAGUAAAGCUCAAUAAUUGUGGAAGUCUCAGUUCCACCAUUGGACAGCCAGUGUAGACACAGAAAAAGAAGCUGACCGGGGUCGAUUAGGGGAAUUUUCAUCAUCAUAUCAUGGCACUUGAACAGCACUCUGUGUAUGUAAAUUCAUGUAUUAUGUGUGUGCAUUUGUGUAUAUAUAUAUACACUAAAUACAUAUGUGCUAAAUUUAUGCACACACAUUAAUUUAGUUCUCACAACAUUUCUGUAAACAGUACUGUAAACAGUACAACAUUCCUGUAAAUAGUACUUUUACUGUUUCCAUUUUACAGAUGACCAAGGUGAGGCACAGAGAGGUUAUAUAACUUGUCCAAGCUCACACAGCUAAAAUCUGGUGGAACCAUAACUACCUACAUGAUCUGAUCCCAGAAUCCAUUCCCUCAAUCAUUCUGACCGGCUUGGAAGAUAAUUUCUGUGUUGUUAAGCCAUGACCAAACAUCCAUCUGGUCACUGCUGCCCCUGAGUCUCUGAGACUGGUGUAGGCAGUGGGGAUUAGUCUCUCUUAUCUACUUUGGAACCUUCGGUUCUUCAUUCAUUAAUUCAUUUAAUCCUCUGAUUCAUUCAAUAAAUAUGUAUUGAGUGCCUACUAUGUGUCAAGUCCUGUGCCGGGUGCCAGAGAUACCAAGAUAAAUUAGAUAUGGUCUUUGUCCUUAAAGGCCUUGAAAGGUGGGGGAUAAGACAUGGUCAGUUAACGGCACAGAUGACACAUGCUGUUCUGUUCCAAAGGGAGUAGCAGGUGGUGUGUUGUCUAAGAAUGUGUUUCUCAAUCUGGCCCCAUCUACCAUCUGGUUAGCGCAAUUUCUCCCUUGCACUUUACCCUGUGAUCUUCUCUUAUCUUUAGUUUCUAAAGCAUCACUGCAAGCUUUUGGAUUUCUGCAUAUCUUCUUGAGCAUUUUCACAGGAUAUGGAGAUUAGUCUCAUCAGUCAUAUCUGCUGUCCUUUUUUUAUCAUCCCAGGAAAGUGUCCUUGUUCCUGUAAGUAAUGGGAAGCCAGGGAAGGAUUCAGAGUAGGAUAGAUGGGCACUUUAGAAUGACCACUCCAGCUAUAAUGUGGAAAAUAGACUGAAUGGUGGAGGUAAGAUAAGCAGCCCAGUCAGAAAACUGCUCCAGUGCCCAGGUGGAAUUAUCUGAGCAAAGACUGCGGCUGGGGGAGACAGGAGGGUAUGGAUUCAAUGAGUAUCAAGCAAAUGGAAUCAAAGGGACUAAGUAAUUCAAUCAACAGUGUUUAAUUAGCACCUGUUAAGUGCCAGGCACUGUGCCAGGUGCCCAGAAUACAGCAGGGAACAAGAUAGACACAGCCUCUGCCUUCAUUGCAUCUAGAUGGGGAAAUGGACAAUUGGAGCCUUUACAAUAAAAGAUGAUAAACAAUGCAACAGAGGACAUCAGGGCACUGCAGGAAAACAGAAGGGGGCACACGAGGGGGCGUGAGGGAAGAGUCCGGGCUGAUGCCUGGAUUUCUGCCUUGGCUGCAGGAGUAUAUGAUGGGGCCAUCGUCUGAGCCAGAGAAUCCAGGAGGGCAGAACCCUAUGGACGUCUCUCUGGGUCCCCCCAAGCCCAGGCCAGGGCAGGAGCAGGGGAGGUGGUGAGCAGAGACUGUUGAAUGAAUGGAUAAAUGAAUGUGGGCAUGCGAAUACUCCCCAGCCCUCAGCCCGGCCCUGAAAGAGGAAGAUGGGGAGUGGUCCUGAAAGAAACUAGAAGUUUCAGGAAGCCCAGUGGUUACUCAACAACCACAAACUGUCAGCCUCUUCCCAGUUACCCAACGGGCCAUAUGAGGCAGCCGUGACGCUCCUGAUGUCCAGCAGGACAAGCCGGGCUGCCCAUGACUCUGUAUCUGGGGCCUGGAUAGCGGGCAGACUCAGCAUACCCCUAGCUGUUCUGAGGCCACCAGUGUGGGCCCCAAAGGCUAUUGGAGACCUUCCUGGAACUGGCAGGGAAGGAAGAAUUAGCCCUCCAAAUUCCCUGGGCAUGUGUUCCUAGAGUUGGGACCCUUCCUCUGGCUCCUGCAUUCUUGAAGUGUCCCCCUGCCUCAGCACCAAGCCUCCUGGGCUGGGCCUGGGUCUGUUUGCCUCUAUCCAAAAGCAGAAAUUGAUAAUUAUCUUCUGUGUGCCCAGUGCCCAGCUUGGACAACCCCUUCCCCCCAGCACAUGAUAUAAAAUUUCUCUUCUUUCUCAUUUUACUUUUUUUGUUUGUUUGUUUUGAGACAGGAUCUCUCUCUGUCAUCCAAGCUGGAGUACAGUGGUGUGAUAAUGCCUCACUGAAGCCUUAACCUCCUGGCCUCAAGUGAUCCUCCCACCCCAGCCUCCCAUGUAGCUGGGACUACAGGUGUGCCCCACCAUGCCCAGCUAAUUUUUCUAUUUAUUUUUUUGUAGAGAUGGGUUUUUGCCAUCUUGCCAGGCUAGUCUCAGAUUCCUGGGUUCAAGCAAUCUGCCCCCCCUCAGCAUCCCUAAGUCCUGAAAUUACAGGCAUGAGCCUCUGUGCCCUGCCAGGAAAUGUUUCUUUAGUUCAGAGAGAGGUGUACCCUAAGCCCAGGGGCCAGGCUCCCCCACCCUCAGGAGAAGGAAGGUUCAUCGGGAGCCACAUAAACACCAUGUCGUUGGCAUGUGGCCAGGAUACCCAUGGUUACACCAUGAGUGGGUGGGCCUAGGCUCUGACAGCCUCUGACCCAGGGUGGGGAAGGCACCAACCCACUGCCCCGCCUCUACCCCUGUCCGCUGUCCAUAUCUGAGUGUCCUGAAAUGGGAGAAUCUUUGAAUCUAAAGGAUAGAAAGGCCCUCUGUGGUCUUGUUGUCCACCUGCCCUUUUUUUUCUGUCUUUCUGGUCCAUUCAUUCUCCUUAAUAAUUAUUUACCACCCCUCAAAAAAUUGUCUGCAUUCCUAUCUUCUCCCUCCCCUAUGAAAAGGAUAUAUGAGCUUCUGUACCCCAUCGGGGGCUUGGAAUCGCCACUCGAUAGUUCUCCCUCAUGCACAUUAAUGAAUGUGUCUGCCUUUUCUCCUAUUCAUCUGCCUUUGGUCAGUUGAUGUUUCAGCAAAUAUUUAGAGGGCAAAGGGGAAGUUUUCCCUUGGCCCCUAAAGUCGCUGGCCAGGUGUUUGCCAUCAGCAUGGGAUUACAUGGAACUGGCAGGGAAAGACUUCUGUGGCUUCUUUGGCUCCUGUCGCUGCUAGUAGGUUGCAAAAGGGCCUAAUGGCCCCUGGUAUAAAUGCAGGUGCAUUUGCGUGUGUGUGUGUGUAUGUGUGUGUAUGUUUAGCUUGUGUUUAUUUUAUCCAUAGAUGUUUAUAUUAGUAUAUAUUACUUUAUAUAGUUAUAUAUAUACAUAUAUAAUAGCGAAAUGUAUAAGUAUACAUAAAUGGAUAUUUUAUGUGUAUGUGUGUGUGUAUACAUAUAUACAUUUCUUUAUUUAUGUUUUAUUAUUAUUUUUCUUGAGAUGGGAGUCUUGCUCUGUCACCCAGACUGGAGUGCAGUGGCACGAUCUCAGCUCACUGCAACCUCCACCUCCCAGGUUCAAGUGAUUUUCCUGCCUCAGCCUCCUGAGUAGCUGGGAUUAUAGGCACGCACCACCACGCCUGGCUAAUUUUUGUAUUUUUAGUAGAGACGGGUUUCACCAUGUUGGUCAGGCUGGUCUCGAACUCCUAACCUCAUGAUUCGCCCUCCUUGGCCUCCCAAAGUGCUGGGAUCACAGGCGUGAGUCACUGCGCCUGGUCACAUACGUACAUUUCUUUUUCUUCUCACAUAUAUGGGGAAAUGCCACCAGAUUGGCAGACGGUGCUACAAAUUUAUAUGUAUAAAUAUCUAGAUUUUAAUUUUUAUUUAUUUAUCUAUUGAUGCAUAUAAUUAUAUAUAUAACAUAUUUCUUAUAUACUUAAAAAUAGAAAUCUUUUAUUUGUGAGUGUAUAUAUAUUUCUAGUUUUGCCUUUCCUUGUGUCUGUACCCAUAAAACACUCAAGUGACAGGCAGCGCCACACCGUUUCUUGAGAGCAGGUUCCGAAACCCUGAGUCUCCACUGACCCUUGUUCCUCUGGUCUCAUGUGAGGACACAGCUGUACAUUGGACUCUAGAUGUCAGAGCCAUUUGUUCCCAUGGUGUCUCCAUGAGGUUGAGCCCCCACUCUAGGAGAAAACAGCUGUUUCGGGGUGAAUGGGGGCAGCAAAACCCAGAUGGACCUGGUAGUCUCAGGCGGUCUCACAUUCAAGUCCUAUCUGAUUGCAACUUCUCCGAGCUUCUAAGAAGAGAAGGGGCUCUUCUCGGCUUGUGCAGCCAUACACUUGUCAGCCUAGGCUGUGAUCUAAAGGCUGGCUCAAAAAAUCACUUUGCUCCUCCCUUCUGAAGAAUCCAAACUGACCUGUUCAGGCCCUGAUUAUAAUGCCCUCAGCAAUGGGAACUCACCUUAACCUGGGACCUGAGACCAGCCUUCUUCCCGAGACCUGAGACCUGAGACCAGUCACUUCCCCAAGGGUCUCCUCCCUAUCUCCAAGGCCACAGAGCCUUAUCUUCCCCCCACAGCCCAAAACAGUCCAGGAGAGCCAGGGGAAGGGGUGGGGAUGAGGCCCCUGCCAUCCCUGAGAGAUGAACAAGUGAGCAGUAGCUCCUUUCUCCAUGGCCACAGUUAAAGUGUCAUCACUUGCAAUCACUAAACCAUCAGUGGGGCCACUGAAAGGCAAGAGACACUGAAAGGCAAAAGACAGGCCAUUCUGCCAAGCAGGAAGCUGAAGACUGUUUCAAGGCAGUAUGCCAUGGUGGUUAAGAGCACCUCUGCUAGAUACUAGCUGCGUGACCCUUAAUCCUUCUGAAGUGGAUUUUCUUGCUGGUAAAAUGGGAUAAUGACGCCUGCCUGGUAGGUUAGUGUGUGGAUUAAAUGACUGUGUGUAAAGAAAGGGUCAGCCCAAUGCAUACUAGGGAGGUGUUCAGGGAAUCCAUGCUUUCCCAUGGCAGUGUCGGACGCUGUUGCCACACAGCCACACACACCACAUUGGCUGUGCCCAUCUUGUGGGCUCCCCACCCUUCAGGUCUUUUCCACCUGAGAGUGGGCUAGGGCUCUCCUUCCUGCCCUAGAAUCACUUAUUUGUCUGACU